This is a long non-coding RNA of Tigriopus californicus, 692 nucleotides long. RefSeq lists it as uncharacterized. The transcript is spliced from 2 exons. The record is from RefSeq and is a predicted model, not a curated record. NCBI's taxonomy places the organism in Eukaryota, Metazoa, Arthropoda, Copepoda, Harpacticoida, Harpacticidae.
UAUGGGGAAAGAGGGAAGGGAGGCCUGAACGAGGGCUGCGAAUGGCCGAGCAGGCAGAAGGGUGCUCCAUAAAGAGGUGAAACUGACAUUACGGUACCCUCUCUGAGAUGCGAUCCUUGAGGAUUGCAUUUGUGUGGAGGAGAAGAAGAAUGGGGUUUCGCCUUGGAAACAGGCUGAGCUCACAUAUGUACAUAUCCACCCGCAACCAUUCCAAGCAACGUGCACUUUCAUUUCGAGAAUUCCUCGAGGAAACAGGUUUAAAGGCGACGAAGAAAAAUACGGGGGUCGAUCAAGCACGUGAAAUGACGGACGACUCGCCACGAAUCAAACACUUUUCGAACUGGGACUCAUGUCUUGAAAGUAGGGAUGGGCCAUGGAUUCAUCGGCGGAGAGGCGUUGACCGGGAUUACAUUGGAGCAGGCGCUGCAAGGUACUUAAUGUUAAUAGUUGUUAAUGGCGAUGGGCAGGGAUAUCGAUCUCACCUGGAGCAAAUCCCGGCCGCGUCUAGAGAGUUUGGGGACCACUUGAGUGAAGGCCAUGGAGGGAUGGUAGAUGGGGAAUUGUUUGAAUUCGGGGAGUUGUCCCAUACUCGGCCAAUUGUCUUCCACGGGCGUUCCCAGGAGCUUGAAAAUCCGUUUCAGUUGGUCGUCCACGUCACUGCCCGGAAAUAAAGGCCGCCCUGCAUUGGCCAA